RNAcentral lists this ribosomal RNA (62 nucleotides) under Trichoderma atroviride. Its description in RNAcentral is "partial 28S ribosomal RNA". Lineage: Eukaryota; Fungi; Ascomycota; Sordariomycetes; Hypocreales; Hypocreaceae. The record is from RNAcentral.
UGACCUCGGAUCAGGUAGGAAUACCCCGCUGAACUUAAGCAUAUCAUAAAGCGCGGAAGGAA